This 254-nucleotide ribosomal RNA is filed under the name uncultured bacterium. RNAcentral describes it as "partial 16S ribosomal RNA". It matches the Rfam family "Bacterial small subunit ribosomal RNA", at positions 524 to 776 of the family's 1533-position model. The record is from RNAcentral.
UACGUAGGCAGCGAGCGUUGUUCGGAAUUACUGGGCGUAAAGAGUGUGUAGGCGGUGUUCCCAGUCUGUUGUGAAAUCUCCCGGCUUAACUGGGAGGGUGCAGCGGAAACUAGAAUGCUAGAGGGUGGGGAGAGGUAAGCGGAAUUCCUGGUGUAGCGGUGAAAUGCGUAGAUAUCAGGAGGAACACCUGUGGUGUAGACAGCUUACUGGACCACUUCUGACGCUGAGGCACGAAAGCGUGGGUAGCAAACAGG